GUUAAGAUUAGGAUUGGUUUUACUGAGGUGAAGGUUACAUUUAGGAUUAGUUUUACUGAGGUGAAGGUUAAGAUUAGGAUUAGUUUUACUGAGGUGAAGGUUACAUUUAGGAUUAGUUUUACUGAGGUGAAGGUUAAGAUUAGGAUUAGUUUUACUGAGGUGAAGGUUUUUUUGCCUCACACCUCCAGGAUCCGCAAUUCUGUGUGGAGAUUCGUAUGUUCUCCUUGUGAUUUCUUCCGGAUUGGAUUCUCCAGAAAUUGUGUGUGUACAUGACGGAUUGGCUUCCCAUCCAGGGUGUAUUCCCACAUCACGCACAAUGUUCCCUGGAUAUACUCCAACUCCACUCUGACCCUGAGCCCAGAAAGAAUAAUGCAUAGGCCUGGCUAUAUAUAUA
Long non-coding RNA from Ictalurus punctatus (channel catfish), 394 nucleotides. Lineage: Eukaryota; Metazoa; Chordata; Actinopteri; Siluriformes; Ictaluridae. The record is from Ensembl.